RNAcentral lists this ribosomal RNA (464 nucleotides) under uncultured Peptococcaceae bacterium. Its description in RNAcentral is "bacterial SSU rRNA". It matches the Rfam family "Bacterial small subunit ribosomal RNA", at positions 920 to 1382 of the family's 1533-position model. Lineage: Bacteria; Bacillati; Bacillota; Clostridia; Eubacteriales; Peptococcaceae. The record is from RNAcentral.
CCCGCACAAGCGGUGGAGCAUGUGGUUUAAUUCGACGCAACGCGAAGAACCUUACCAGGACUUGACAUCCCCUGACGAUGCAAGAGAUUGCAUUUUCCGACUUCGGUUGGACAGGGAGACAGGUGGUGCAUGGUUGUCGUCAGCUCGUGUCGUGAGAUGUUGGGUUAAGUCCCGCAACGAGCGCAACCCUAUUUUAGUUGCCAGCGAGUAAUGUCGGGCACUCUAGAGAGACUGCCGGUGACAAACCGGAGGAAGGUGGGAUGACGUCAAAUCAUCAUGCCCUUUAUGUCCUGGGCUACACACGUACUACAAUGGCCUGUACAAAGGGUCGCGAAGCCGCGAGGUGGAGCCAAUCCCAAAAAGCAGGUCUCAGUUCGGAUUGCAGGCUGCAACUCGCCUGCAUGAAGUCGGAAUCGCUAGUAAUCGCGGAUCAGCAUGCCGCGGUGAAUACGUUCCCGGGCCUU